RNAcentral lists this ribosomal RNA (468 nucleotides) under uncultured bacterium. RNAcentral's name for it is "partial 16S ribosomal RNA". It matches the Rfam family "Bacterial small subunit ribosomal RNA", at positions 29 to 507 of the family's 1533-position model. The record is from RNAcentral.
UACGAACGCUGGCGGCGUGCUUAACACAUGCAAGUCGAACGGAAAGGCCCUGCUUUUGUGGGGUGCUCGAGUGGCGAACGGGUGAGUAACACGUGAGUAACCUGCCCUUGACUUUGGGAUAACUUCAGGAAACUGGGGCUAAUACCGGAUAGGAGCUCCUGCUGCAUGGUGGGGGUUGGAAAGUUUCGGCGGUUGGGGAUGGACUCGCGGCUUAUCAGCUUGUUGGUGGGGUAGUGGCUUACCAAGGCUUUGACGGGUAGCCGGCCUGAGAGGGUGACCGGCCACAUUGGGACUGAGAUACGGCCCAGACUCCUACGGGAGGCAGCAGUGGGGAAUAUUGCACAAUGGGCGGAAGCCUGAUGCAGCAACGCCGCGUGCGGGAUGACGGCCUUCGGGUUGUAAACCGCUUUCGCCUGUGACGAAGCGUGAGUGACGGUAAUGGGUAAAGAAGCACCGGCUAAGUACGUG